This is a small nucleolar RNA of Grammomys surdaster, 131 nucleotides long. RefSeq annotates it as small nucleolar RNA SNORA17. The record is from RefSeq and is a predicted model, not a curated record. The transcript has a single exon. NCBI's taxonomy places the organism in Eukaryota, Metazoa, Chordata, Mammalia, Rodentia, Muridae.
ACUAUCUAGAGGCAUUGCAGGUGUGGCUGCUAUGUCACAUGUGUGUCAGUAGAUGGUAGAGAGGAGUGAGUCUGUGUCUAUAGCUCAAUGUUCUGACCUGUGAACAUCUGACUGAUUAGCAGCCUAACAUU